CACGUAGGGGGCAAGCGUUGUCCGGAAUCAUUGGGCGUAAAGAGCUCGUAGGCGGCUCAGUAAGUCGGGUGUGAAACCCUCAGGCUCAACCUGGGGACGCCACCCGAUACUGCUGUGGCUAGAGUCCAGUAGGGGAGUGUGGAAUUCCCGGUGUAGCGGUGAAAUGCGCAGAUAUCGGGAGGAACACCAGCGGCGAAGGCGGCUCUCUGGGACGGUACUGACGCUGAGGAGCGAAAGCGUGGGGAGCGAACAGG
Molecule: ribosomal RNA, 254 nt
Filed under: uncultured bacterium
Lineage: Bacteria
Description: partial 16S ribosomal RNA
Rfam family: Bacterial small subunit ribosomal RNA
Source: RNAcentral